CAGGGAGACAACAAAAUGUAAAUAUUAAUUUUGUCACCUUAGGUCGAUCGGUAUCUCAGAUUCUUAUUAUUUAAGAAUUUCAGUUUCUAAGUUUUUUCUAGGUCACACCCAUCACUUUUUCCUGGGCCAUUAGCUCAGGUGGUUAGAGCGCACCCCUGAUAAGGGUGAGGUCCCUGGUUCAAGUCCAGGAUGGCCCAUAUCUCUAUGUUGGGGGUAUAGCUCAGUUGGUAGAGCGCCUGCUUUGCAAGCAGGAUGUCAGCGGUUCGAGUCCGCUUACCUCCACUGAAUACCACCUCUUACAUAUAGUUGAAGUGGGAAAUUGUUUUGAGUCGUGUCCUAAUUUGCUCUGAGCGAAUCUAGCUUCCUAUUUUAUCCAAGAAAUAAGAUGCUGGACUCAUUGAAUUUUUUUUCAUUGUUUUCAGAGAACCUUGACAACUGCAUAGAUUAUUUUUAAAGACAAUAAGCAUCUUUAAUGAUGCAGAUUUAUUAUUUGUGCGAAUGCAUUAAAUAACAAUUCUAUUAAGCUGAUGCUUCAAUUAUUGAAGUUAUU
Molecule: transfer RNA, 550 nt
Filed under: uncultured Prochlorococcus sp.
Lineage: Bacteria; Bacillati; Cyanobacteriota; Cyanophyceae; Synechococcales; Prochlorococcaceae
Description: partial 16S-23S ribosomal RNA intergenic spacer
Rfam family: tRNA (bases 210-282)
Source: RNAcentral